Hyla sarda is the source of this 3310-nucleotide RNA transcript. It is a transcript of the gene named protein arginine methyltransferase 2, with no coding region annotated. The record is from RefSeq and is a predicted model, not a curated record. The transcript is spliced from 9 exons. Lineage: Eukaryota; Metazoa; Chordata; Amphibia; Anura; Hylidae.
UCUUCCUCUGCACAGGUUUUGAUAAAUCUCCCCCAUAGUUUCGCUGUGGUGGAGAACUUCCAGAGGCAUCUACUACACAUGCGCUGCUCGUUGAACCCUAUAAACUACACUUCCCAUAAUGCAUUUCCAUGGAAUAAUUCUGAGUAUAAGACGCGGGGAACUGAAACUUCAACCCCAGUUUCCGCACAUGACAGACGGCGGGCGCUCGGGGGUCACCAGAAAAAGGUGAAAUAUAGGAGGACGCCCGCCCCCCGCCCCUGUUUACUCUGCACAGACUGAGCACGGCAGCAGCGCCUACAUCCGGGGCUGUGUCCUCUCACGGGAGCAGUCUCUCUGGAUUCGAAGGGUUUGCUGUGACUUGUCGUUCCACUGGAGACGAUAACACAUUUGUUAGGCAGGUCUAGAGCAGUGGGAGUGCACUGUAGUGUAACACCUAGAAAGCCCACAGGUUCUGCUGCCAGGCAUAAGAAUAGUGGGGUCAUAGGAAGUAUGGUGGGUGGAGGACAAGUAAUGUAUCACUAUAGUGGACAUAGAAAGGGAAUGUACUAGACCUGAGGAGAUGGACAGGUGAGGAGUGUCCUGUGUUGUAGAAGGGCGCAUGUAUAUGGCAGUUUUAUUUAAUUGGUGCAUACCACAUAAUGGAGACAGAUAAGAUUUGGGGGGCACAUUGGGAUGGCAGGGGUGAUGGUGAGGAUGAGGCUUCUUCUGGAGAAGACCCUGAGAAGAGCUCUAGAGCCCAAGAAAGGAACAGAGAGAAGAAAGAAGAGUCUAGAGCCCAGAAUACAAAGAACAUGGACAUCCAGUCUAUUCUGGGGGCAGUGCAAGAGAUAGAACGGGAGCUUGGAGAACCAUUAGAUUGGGGCAAGGACAGAAACUCAGCUCAGGUUGUAACGAAGGAGCCCAAAGUGUCCGGCUAUGGAGAGAGGAAUCGGGAAAGUCACCGUCAGGGGGAUGGAGAAUUUCAUGGCGUUAAUGAUAAAGAUGGGCGAUUGGUUAGUAGUGAGGUAGACAGGGCUGUCGGCGACUGUGAGGGUUAUACUGGGGAUUCUUUUUCCAAAAGGAUGGCCAGGGAUCUAUUUAGAGAGGUAGAUCCUGAAGAAUGUCUUCUCAGCAGAGACACAAGAUGGUCUGGGCACGGUGAGGGGGAAGGAGACACAAGUCAGGUUAAUAUUAAGGAUCUGACUGUACAGGGAGGUUUACAUGGAGCCUGCGGACCAAAGGAGCCCAAAGCCAACAUGUCUUCUGAAGAUUGUGCAGGUGCAGCUUGCUGGGCGGCAGUCUGUCCGGAGGGUAGUAUUGUGGAUUACUCCUAUGUGGACUUCAGUACUAAUGAAUUCAUGGCGAUAUGUGAUUUUGUUGCUGCUGAUGACACGCAGCUUAGUCUUUCUCAGGGAGACAAGGUGUUUCUUCUUAAUGUGGUGACAGAAGACUGGUGGUGGGUUGAAUAUAAUGGUCAGUGUGGCUAUGUACCAGCUACCCAUUUGCAUGGAGUAUACAAUAAAGAGGAUUCUUACAUAGAUGACCCAUGGCAGGAUGAAGAAUAUUAUGGAAGCUACAAAACACUGAAACUGCACUUGGAGAUGUUGUCUGAUGAGCCUCGUACACAGGCAUAUAGAAACGUCAUAAUACAAAACAGCACAGCCCUGAAGGGCAAACGUAUCCUUGACCUGGGAUGUGGAACAGGGAUCAUAAGCUUCUUCUGUGCACAGCUGGCAGAGCCUGAGAUUGUUUAUGCAGUAGAAGCAAGUGAGAUUGCUGAGCAGACAUGUAAACUGGUAGAAGAGAAUGGAUUCUCAAACAUCAUCCAAGUUGUGUGUCAGAGGGCAGAAGAAUUGCAGUUACCUACCAAGGUUGACGUCCUGGUGUCUGAAUGGAUGGGAACCUGUUUAAUGUUUGAAUUCAUGCUGGAAUCCGUUCUCUUAGCUCGUGAUCUGUGGCUGAAGGAGGAUGGCGUGAUGUGGCCAAGCACUGCUCGUAUCCACCUGGUGCCAUGCAGUGCAGACAAAGUGUAUGCUUCUAAAGUCCAUUUCUGGGAAGCUCCUUAUGGCUUCAACUUUAGUGCCUUGAAGCCUAUGGCCAUACAGGAGUUUUUUUCCAGACCAAAACCUGAUCAUGUAUUAAAACCAGAGGAUUGCCUGUCUCAGCCAUGCACCUUGCUAAAUGUCAAUAUGAAGACACUAAACAUAGAAGACCUAGAGAGAAUGAACAACGAGUUUCAGUUCCAUGUGGAUCGUGAUGGCACUUUUCAUGGAUUUACUGCUUGGUUCAGUGUCCAGUUCCAGAAUAUUGAUAACCAAGAGCAGGUGGAGUUAAAUACUGGCCCCUUCAAUCCGUACGCUUACCCACUGGAAGCACACACUCUUCAUACUGGACAAGCCUCUGCAAGUGCACAUGGGUGAUAAGAUCACUGGCUCUGCAGUAUUCAAGAGAAAUCCUACCUGGAGACGUCAUUUAUCGGUCACUAUAAUCUGGUCUGUUACUAGUUCAUCACUGACAAAAGUGCAGGAUGGUUGCAAAGUAUUUCCCAUUUGGAGAUGAUUUGAGAGAUGGUAUUUAACACCAUGUGAAAUUUAAACAAGUAAAAUAUACUUCAUGGACUGUGUAAUGUGUGAAUAGUCUAAAAUAGCGUUUCCCAACCUUUUUUGGGUCGGGGCACACCUCUGAAAUUUUUUUUUCCGCGGGGCACCCCUACCGAGGUUGACUAGCAAGAAAAAAAAAAGAAAAACUUAAAUUCCUAUGCACACUGCAUAUAUGCAUAAUGACUGUCACUGCAAUGUAGAAUUGGUGGCGCAAAAAAUAAGCCAUCAUAUGGAAUUUUAUGGGCAAAAUUGAAAGAGUUAUGAUUUUUAGAAGGUGAUGAGGGAAAAAAUGAAAAACCCUGCUUCCUUAAGGGGUUAAAGACCCGUUAAGAAAUCCCUUAAAGAAAUCCCAUUCAAGUCUAUUGGAUUUUUUUAUUAUCAGUUAUCACCCGUUAUGAAUAACUGAUGUUAUUUGUGACGGGAGAAAAAACAUUACAUGCACUAAUUUUUUUCCCCGUUACAAAUAAAAUAGACUAUUCCUAACGAGUGAUGACUGAUAAUCAAAAAAAAUAUAUAUAUAAUAAAUAAAACUUGAAUGUGUGUUCCUAAUGGAACAUUGUAACAGGUCUUUAAAACGGAGCAACAUAUAUUGUGAAAGGAGCCUUAGAUAGCUGUUGGCCAAAUGCUCCAAGCCAUAGACCUGUACACUCAAGUAGGUGUGCAUGUGUCCUGAAUGUGAAGAGGAGUAAAGAGUAAACUGCUGCUAAACAACUUUUGCGGUAGCUUAUCUU